Molecule: long non-coding RNA, 597 nt
Organism: Mauremys reevesii (Reeves's turtle)
Lineage: Eukaryota; Metazoa; Chordata; Testudines; Geoemydidae
Exons: 2
Source: RefSeq, a predicted model, not a curated record
AGGGUGGGGCGGGUGCUCUCCUGUGUGGGGCCCGGGCAGGCCAGUCGCAGAGCGAGGCUGGGUCCCGUUUGGUGGCCCAGGCAGGCUCGGUGAGGCCAGAGAAGGGAGGCAGGCCUGGAGUUGGUGGAGGCUGCUCCCAGCACAUGCCUGGGGGGCCCGGUGCCCAGGGGGAGCGGGGAGCUCAGACAUUACUCUCCAGUGGGCGAGGGCCCGGACGUCGCAGGAGAUGCUGCAGCCCGUGCCACGUGUAGGUGGCGGGGCGCUGGGGUGGACGCCAGCUCCGCUCUCCACUGGCUCGUGCAGAUCACGCUCUUCCUGGCGCUCGGCCAGUGCCUGGCGUGCGCCGGGAUCCUUGAGGCCACCAUCCAGUCCCCAGCUGCGCGCCUCUUCUUCGGCCCCAUGGUCCCGGUGCUAUCGGACGCGCUCGGCACCUUCCGCCGCGUGGUCCCGGCCUUGCUUGUCUUCUCCAUGUCCGUGUUAGCAGCCUCGCUCCUCUACGCCGGCAUCCCGGGGCUGCGGGCUCUGCUCCCCGGCGCCCUCCCGCCUGGCUGGUGAGCGCCCGGCAAAGCCCCGGCUCAAUACAGCCGCAGACAGAGA